UCCCACACUAAUAUUUGCUCACAUGCAUCAACCGUUCCUAAUGCAAGUGGCAAAUAAUUUCGUAAUUGGUAUUCGAGAUCUCAAGUUCGAAUCCUAGUUGAUUCGCAUUUCUAGCUAAAUUUAUUUCUAAAUGAAAUAAACGAAGUGGGUAGCGUGCUACCUAUUUUCUCAAAAAAAAAAUAUUUGCUCACAUACAUCAUGAAUAUCACAAGCAUUAGCAUAUA
RNAcentral lists this long non-coding RNA (224 nucleotides) under Ananas comosus (pineapple). RNAcentral's name for it is "long non-coding RNA (ACOM_LNC011558)". The record is from RNAcentral. Lineage: Eukaryota; Viridiplantae; Streptophyta; Magnoliopsida; Poales; Bromeliaceae.